Molecule: transfer RNA, 74 nt
Filed under: Nemipterus bathybius (yellowbelly threadfin bream)
Lineage: Eukaryota; Metazoa; Chordata; Actinopteri; Spariformes; Nemipteridae
Description: tRNA-Leu
Rfam family: tRNA
About the family: Transfer RNA (tRNA) molecules are approximately 80 nucleotides in length. Their secondary structure includes four short double-helical elements and three loops (D, anti-codon, and T loops).
Source: RNAcentral
GUUGAGGUGGCAGAGCCCGGCUAUUGCAAUAGGCCUAAGCCCUUUUAACAGAGGUUCAAGUCCUCUCCUCAACU